Molecule: unclassified non-coding RNA, 146 nt
Filed under: soil metagenome
Description: partial internal transcribed spacer 1
Source: RNAcentral
CCGAGUUUACAACUCCCAAACCCCUGUGAACAUACCUAUACGUUGCCUCGGCGGAUCAGCCCGCGCCCCGUAAAAAGGGACGGCCCGCCGAGGACCCCUAAACUCUGUUUUUAGUGGAACUUCUGAGUAAAACAACAAAUAAAUCA